This 1293-nucleotide long non-coding RNA is filed under the name Anser brachyrhynchus (Pink-footed goose). Its description in RNAcentral is "lncRNA (ENSABRG00000003608.1)". Lineage: Eukaryota; Metazoa; Chordata; Aves; Anseriformes; Anatidae. The record is from RNAcentral.
UGGUAAAGAAGCUGGUGUGGCUAAAACACUGAGUUUGUUUUAUUUAUGUCUGAGCUAUAGGUAUCCCUCAGCACGGAUUUAUACCUUAACAAUGAAUUGAGAGCAUGCCAAUCUCUAAACUACUUCUUGGUACAUGCUUUUAGUGUGGACAUUGUGACCAGAAAGGUAGGAUAAGGUGCAUCUUGUCUGCAUGCUGUGACAGAAAAUAUUUCUUGGUCUCCUGAACUUUGAGCUGAAUACGUGUUUUUUUUUUUUUUUUUUUUUUUUUUUUUUUUUUGAGAACAUUAACAUUUAUCCCAUUUCUGUGGUGUCACAUUAGAAGAGUUAUUUAAUGACUCAUUAACUUUUGUAAUGUUUUGAGUCAGCACAACAGGUCAGAAUAUCCUGAAUUGGAAGAGACCCUCAAGGAUGAUAGAGUCCACCUCCUGACACGUACUCCAUCUCAAGUUGAAAGCUCAGCUCAAUAAACAAGUUGCAGUUUUGCUCAGUACAUUGCUGUGCUAUUGCUGCAAAGGUCCCACCUGCCCCAAUUUGCUAUACAGAAAGGCUACAUCAUGGGAGCGAUGACUACAAGCAACUUGGCGUGCUUUCCGUUUCAGCAAGAGGGCUGUUCCUGUCUCUGCCACUUCAUUGUGCCCUCCCAUUGAGAAGGUUAAGUACUUCUCUCUCCACUAAAUCUUGCAGAGUACACAAACGGUAGAGCAAUCUUAAGUGAGCUACAUAAUGCGAGGUUUGCAGCAGUAAUUGCAAUGCAUGCAUGAAGAGUCAAAGAGGGUGCUUAGGGAAUAUUCUUCAAUGAAAAGAUGUGUUAGCUCCAAUUUCCCUGGCUAAUAUAGCUCCCAGUGCUACUUUUGUAAAACAGCCCAUCCAUGGCAGCCAGAUCCGGAGAGGGUGUCUGCAGUCUGAGACUGUAGGAAACAGGCUUCAGGGAGCUGAUCCCAGAAGACCUCCUGCUAUGUGUGGUACUAUCAUCAUUUAUAUAAACAUCAGCCUCUCAGAGCCUGACCUAUAAUGUUCUUAGUGGCACAGCAGCAAGAUACCUUUUAGCAGCCACUCAUGAAAUAAUUGGUCUGACCUACAUGAGGAUUUGUCAAGAGAGAUAGUUCAUAUCUGAUUUCAAUGGCUCAGCGAGUGUUUUAAGCUUUGAAUCACACCAAAAGUUAGAAAACAACAUAAACUAUGUAUUUUGCACGUAUGUUAAAAAUGAUCCACACAUUCUGGUCAGUAUGACUUUGGCACAAACUUCAAAUGUGGGUAGAACAGUCUGCACAUAAAACAAAUUCCUACAAGAAA